Molecule: small nuclear RNA, 18 nt
Filed under: Arabidopsis thaliana (thale cress)
Lineage: Eukaryota; Viridiplantae; Streptophyta; Magnoliopsida; Brassicales; Brassicaceae
Description: snRNA_00984
Source: RNAcentral
ACUAACCAAGCUUCUUCU